Long non-coding RNA from Passer domesticus (house sparrow), 1109 nucleotides. RefSeq lists it as uncharacterized. The record is from RefSeq and is a predicted model, not a curated record. The transcript has 4 exons. Lineage: Eukaryota; Metazoa; Chordata; Aves; Passeriformes; Passeridae.
GGUGACAGGAGCUUCUGUGGCUGUUGAGUUACAGGUGUGUCUGCAGGAAAGACUUUUCAGGCUCCUUUCCUGGUUGCUGCACACAAGCCCCGCUCCCAUGGCAGGGGUCCUCCGAGAAGGCGGAACAAACCUAUAGGAGACAGGAAGUCCCUGGAGGCAUCCAAACACAUGCACAGGAUCGGGAGUGACCUGGAGAGACAACGUGGUGAACCUGAUGAUGAAGACGAUCCUGAUGACGAAGAUAAUACUUUUGAUGAAGACGAUCUGAAUUCCCAACCUGUACCCAUUACUGAGCCUCUGAGAGAUGCUGAGGGUGUGUCUGCAGGGAGGACUUUGGUGGAUGUUGCACACAAGCCCCGCUCCCAUGGCAGGGGUGAGUAGUGUGUCCCUGCUGACCCCACAGGCUGGGACUUCGUUUUGUGGGAUCCAUUCCUGGGAAAUGGAACUCUGUUUCUCUUAAGGUCCUCCAAGAAGGAAGAAGAAACCUACAGGAGCUCGUAAGUCCCUGGACCAUUCCAAACAUCUGGAACAAAAACGGAGUGGUGUGGACAGCCAGAGUAGUGGGUGCAUUUCUCUCAUGCUUCCCCUGGGACUCAGCAGCCGGGGGCUUUGGCUGCACAUGUGGACACGCCGUGCCCGGCACAGCGGGAAGGCAUCCAUGCACCACAGGCCAUGCCCAGCCUAAGAUCCCCUGCCAUUUCCCAGUCCCUGAGCACAUCUGGAGGGGCCGCUCUUUGCAGGAGAGAGGGCCCUGGAGCAGCUCCAAAAUCCUGGCCAUUUUCCUUGUCCUUAUCCAUGUCUUUGACAAGUGUUACCUGGAAGAGAAGGGCACAGCAUAGAGGAAUUACGGCAUGCAGGCUCAGGGGGUUUGGGUACUGAGCAGUCCUGUGCCAAGGGGCAGCAAAGUGCCUGCAGGCCCCAGCUCUGGAGGAAACAGGGAGUGAGGACGUCCUGCCCGUAUCCACCACGCUGCAUUUCAGCAGUGCAGCACAGCAUGGGCUCACGCUCCCCAUUGCUCCCACAGAUGCAGCCGAGACCUCAACACAUUCUGACUACACUUGGAAAAACAUGAGAAGAGUUGUCUGCUGGGGAACACCUUGUUUGAUUAA